This 474-nucleotide ribosomal RNA is filed under the name Loxosceles sp. 4 GJB-2008. Its description in RNAcentral is "partial 16S ribosomal RNA". It matches the Rfam family "Archaeal large subunit ribosomal RNA", at positions 2007 to 2774 of the family's 2987-position model. Lineage: Eukaryota; Metazoa; Arthropoda; Arachnida; Araneae; Sicariidae. The record is from RNAcentral.
GCCGCAGCCUCCUGUGCUAAGGUAGCAUAAUAACUUGCCCUUUAAUUCAAGGAUAGAAUGAAAGGAUAAACGAUUCAUUACCUUUUCCUUUCACAAAAUAUAAAAUUUACCUAAAAGUAAAAAGUCUUUUAAUAAUAGAAGGACGACAAGACCCUAUAGAACUUUACACUAUGUUAAGAUGGGGCGGCCCACAAUUAAAUCUUACAUUCAAAUCAAGAUACAGAUCUGACUACAGUCAACCAAAAAAACAAGUUACCUUAGGGAUAACAGCACAAUUUUAUUUUAGAACAUUUAUCAAAAAUAAAGUUUAUGACCUCGAUGUUGACUUAAUUUAACUAUAGUUAAGCAAAGUUAACAAGAGUAGGUCUGUUCGACCUUUUAAAAAUUACAUGAUUUGAGUUCAGACCGGCGCAAGCCAGGUCAGAUUCUAUCCUCUUCCAUAUUAUUAUAGUACGAAAGGACUUAAUGAAGAAU